This 376-nucleotide ribosomal RNA is filed under the name uncultured bacterium. RNAcentral describes it as "bacterial SSU rRNA". It matches the Rfam family "Bacterial small subunit ribosomal RNA", at positions 521 to 895 of the family's 1533-position model. The record is from RNAcentral.
UAAUACGUAGGGGGCAAGCGUUUUCCGGAAUUAUUGGGCGUAAAGCGCGCGCAGGCGGUUCCUUAAGUCUGAUGUGAAAGCCCACGGCUCAACCGUGGAGGGUCAUUGGAAACUGGGGAACUUGAGGACCGAAGAGGAGAGUGGAAUUCCCCGUGUAGCGGUGAAAUGCGUAGAUAUGUGGAGGAACACCAGUGGCGAAGGCGACUCUCUGGUCUGUUUCUGACGCUGAGGUGCGAAAGCGUGGGUAGCAAACAGGAUUAGAUACCCUGGUAGUCCACGCCGUAAACGAUGAGUGCUAGGUGUUAGGGGGCUUCCACCCCUUAGUGCUGAAGUUAACGCAUUAAGCACUCCGCCUGGGGAGUACGGCCGCAAGGCU